AGCGAACGUUUGCGGCGGGCUUAACACAUGCAAGUCGAACGGGCUGUUCCUUCGGGGGCAGUCAGUGGCGCACGGGUGCGUAACACGUAGGUAAUCAACCCUCUGGUUGGGGAUAACACUUCGAAAGGAGUGCUAAUACCCGGUAUGGCGCAGCGGUCUUCGGAUCGCGGCGAGAAAGACCCGCAAGGGUUGCCAGAGGACGAGCCUGCGGCCCAUCAGCUAGUUGGCGAGGUAACGGCUCGCCAAGGCGAAGACGGGUAGCUGGUCUGAGAGGAUGAUCAGCCACACUGGAACUGAGACACGGACCCAACUCCUACGGGAGGCAGCAGUAAGGAAUAUUGGACAAUGGACGGAAGUCUGAUCCAGCCAUGCCGCGUGCAGGAUGAAGGCGCUCAGCGUUGUAAACUGCUUUUGGAUGGGAAUAAUAACCUCGACGUGUCGGGGCUUGAAGGUACCAUCAGAAUAAGCACCGGCUAACUCCGUGCCAGCA
This 490-nucleotide ribosomal RNA is filed under the name uncultured bacterium. RNAcentral describes it as "bacterial SSU rRNA". It matches the Rfam family "Bacterial small subunit ribosomal RNA", at positions 29 to 513 of the family's 1533-position model. The record is from RNAcentral.